AGAGUUUGAUCCUGGCUCAGAUUGAACGCUGGCGGCAUGCCUUACGCAUGCAAGUCGAACGGCAGCACGGGAGCAAUCCUGGUGGCGAGUGGCGAACGGGUGAGUAAAGCAUCGGAACGUGCCCAGUCGUGGGGGAUAACGUAGCGAAAGCUACGCUAAUACCGCAUACGAUCUGUGGAUGAAAGCGGGGGACCGUAAGGCCUCGCGCGAUUGGAGCGGCCGAUGUCAGAUUAGGUAGUUGGUGGGGUAAAGGCUCACCAAGCCGACGAUCUGUAGCUGGUCUGAGAGGACGACCAGCCACACUGGGACUGAGACACGGCCCAGACUCCUACGGGAGGCAGCAGUGGGGAAUUUUGGACAAUGGGCGCAAGCCUGAUCCAGCAAUGCCGCGUGCAGGAUGAAGGCCUUCGGGUUGUAAACUGCUUUUGUACGGAGCGAAAAGGCUUCCACUAAUACUGGGGGCUCAUGACGGUACCGUAAGAAUAAGCACCGGCUAACUACGUGCCAGCAGCCGCGGUAAUACGUAGGGUGCAAGCGUUAAUCGGAAUUACUGGGCGUAAAGCGUGCGCAGGCGGUCUUGUAAGACAGGUGUGAAAUCCCCGGGCUUAACCUGGGAACUGCACUUGUGACUGCAAGGCUGGAGUACGGCAGAGGGGGAUGGAAUUCCGCGUGUAGCAGUGAAAUGCGUAGAUAUGCGGAGGAACACCGAUGGCGAAGGCAAUCCCCUGGGCCUGUACUGACGCUCAUGCACGAAAGCGUGGGGAGCAAACAGGAUUAGAUACCCCGGUAGUCC
Molecule: ribosomal RNA, 793 nt
Filed under: uncultured bacterium
Lineage: Bacteria
Description: bacterial SSU rRNA
Rfam family: Bacterial small subunit ribosomal RNA
Source: RNAcentral